This 31-nucleotide non-coding RNA is filed under the name Mus musculus (house mouse). Lineage: Eukaryota; Metazoa; Chordata; Mammalia; Rodentia; Muridae. The record is from RNAcentral.
CCACAAAGUACUUUUCCCUCAUAUUUAAGGA